ACCAAACAUCAUUAGUGAGCUAACGCAAAAUCACAAUUUUAUUGUCAAUUCCUCAUUGUAUAUGUUAGUUUAUGAUUGUCUAAGAAAUUUACUAUUGAUUAACUAUUAAAUACAUCAUGAUUAAACUGUAAUAUUCAAAUGUGUGCACAUUAAAAAUACCUUCUUAAAACAUAAGAAAACAAAUGAUAAAUGUGAUUACGAUUUCAACUGAAACUAGUGAGGAUAUAAAUUG
This 232-nucleotide long non-coding RNA is filed under the name Brassica napus (rape). RNAcentral describes it as "long non-coding RNA (BNAP_LNC003695)". The record is from RNAcentral. Lineage: Eukaryota; Viridiplantae; Streptophyta; Magnoliopsida; Brassicales; Brassicaceae.